This 496-nucleotide ribosomal RNA is filed under the name uncultured bacterium. RNAcentral describes it as "partial 16S ribosomal RNA". It matches the Rfam family "Bacterial small subunit ribosomal RNA", at positions 28 to 506 of the family's 1533-position model. The record is from RNAcentral.
GAUGAACGCUGGCGGCGUGCCUAAUACAUGCAAGUCGAGCGAACAGACGAGGAGCUUGCUCCUCUGACGUUAGCGGCGGACGGGUGAGUAACACGUGGAUAACCUACCUAUAAGACUGGGAUAACUUCGGGAAACCGGAGCUAAUACCGGAUAACAUGUUGAACCGCAUGGUUCAACAGUGAAAGACGGUCUUGCUGUCACUUAUAGAUGGAUCCGCGCCGCAUUAGCUAGUUGGUAAGGUAACGGCUUACCAAGGCAACGAUGCGUAGCCGACCUGAGAGGGUGAGCGGCCACACUGGAACUGAGACACGGUCCAGACUCCUACGGGAGGCAGCAGUAGGGAAUCUUCCGCAAUGGGCGAAAGCCUGACGGAGCAACGCCGCGUGAGUGAAGAAGGUCUUCGGAUCGUAAAACUCUGUUAUUAGGGAAGAACAAAUGUGUAAGUAACGAUGCACGUCUUGACGGUACCUAAUCAGAAAGCCACGGCUAACUACGU